This 486-nucleotide transfer-messenger RNA is filed under the name Rickettsiales bacterium. It matches the Rfam family "Alphaproteobacteria transfer-messenger RNA". Rfam says of the family: Bacterial tmRNA, also known as 10Sa RNA or SsrA, is named for its dual tRNA and mRNA-like properties. Its role is to liberate the mRNA from a stalled ribosome. Lineage: Bacteria; Pseudomonadati; Pseudomonadota; Alphaproteobacteria; Rickettsiales. The record is from RNAcentral.
CUGCUUGCAUUUCAAAAACUCUUAUAAUAUAAUUAACGCGUCUUCGGACUAUAAGGAUAAACCUUGUAUAGAAUAGGCACAUUGGACGAGGGUGCAAAUCCCUCUACCUCCACCACCAGCUUAAGCUAAAGCAAGAUAAAAUUCUAUAUUGUGAAAUUUUUCGGCAAAACAGUUUAGAUGUUUUAUUUUUAAAAUUUUUUACGAUGGCGUGUACACAAAAGUACAUAACUGAGUAAAAAUAUUUUUCAAAAAUGAAACAGGUAAAUUGUUUUCACGGGAAAUUUGGGGGUAAAUAGAAUCGACAAGUGCAAUAAAGGUACAAACUUCCUUCGGGGCGAUUUCCGUAAAAAAUCAUAAAUAUGAAUGCAAAUGAUAAUUCAUAUCUUGCAAUGGCUGCUUAACCGUGGCUUUGCUAAAAUAAAUCCUUGAAGGACUAGAUACCUUCAAGUGUGGCCUGGGCUUGCCAAGCAACAGAAAAGCCCUUUU